This 447-nucleotide ribosomal RNA is filed under the name uncultured bacterium. RNAcentral's name for it is "SSU rRNA". It matches the Rfam family "Bacterial small subunit ribosomal RNA", at positions 26 to 518 of the family's 1533-position model. The record is from RNAcentral.
AGGAUGAACGCUGGCGGUGUGCCUAAUACAUGCAAGUCGAACGAGACCUUCGGGUCUAGUGGCGGACGGGUGAGUAACACGUUGGUACCUACCCCUAAGUGGGAAUAACUGCCCGAAAGGGUGGCUAAUACCGCAUAAUCCCGCAAGGGUAAAGCAGUAAUGCGCUUAGGGAGGGGCCUGCGUCCCAUUAGCUUGUUGGUAGUGUAAUGGACUACCAAGGCGACGAUGGGUAGCUGGAUCGAGAGGUUGACCAGCCACACUGGGACUGAGAUACGGCCCAGACUCCUACGGGAGGCAGCAGUAAGGAAUCUUCCACAAUGGACGAAAGUCUGAUGGAGCAACACCGCGUGCAGGAUGACGGUCUUCGGAUUGUAAACUGCUUUUAUAUGGGAAGAUUAUGACGGUACCAUAUGAAUAAGGACCGGCUAACUACGUGCCAGCAGCCGC